AUGGCCGAAUGCUUCAAUAGGGUGCUCAAAGGUGCACGUGGAUUACCCGUGACGGAAAUAGUUCAAUACACAUUUGACAAGAUGAAUGCGCACUUUGUAAAGUACUCGAUGGAAACCGAUGCACAGAUAGCGGGUGAGAACCCACGGAAGUACAAGUACAAGUUCCCACCCAAAGUUGAUGAAUGGUUGGUAUUUCAAUCACGGAAGGCGGACUCAGAAGAAGCUAUAUUAUAUGACAACGAAGAGUGGAAGUACGAAGUGAAAGAGCCAGGAGGAACCACAAACGAUGGGCGGCAACAUGGAGGUCGGGCUUUCAAGGUGUCGUUAACACAAUGUGAUUGCAAUUGCGGGAGGCCAUUGUUGCUUCAUCUCCCAUGCUCACAUUUGUAUGCCGCCGGUCGCGUUAGGAAUGUGGACAUCAAUCACCCACGCACCGUGAGGGAGUCGGAGUUCUCAAUCAUGACGGUCAAGAAAACAUGGGCUCCCCGCUUUCACCCAUACUUUGACCAAUCACAAUGGCCGGAGUAUCAUGGAGUUCAACUAUGGCCGGAUCCGGAGUUGAAGGUUGUUAAACGGGGUAGACGUAAGACAAAGCGUCUUAGAGGCGACAUGGACGGAUGGGGCCAUGGUGGGCGCCGCGAAGCAGGCAACGACCAAUUCCAAGAGCCUCGUGAGAGCUCCCGUUGUGGGGAGUGCAAAGGUCAUGGCCACAACAAAAGAAAAUGUACGAAACCAAGGAAAAGGUCCAAGAAAAAUGAUGCAAGCACAAGCCAACAAGGAGCUACAUAA
Molecule: ribosomal RNA, 789 nt
Filed under: Triticum aestivum (bread wheat)
Lineage: Eukaryota; Viridiplantae; Streptophyta; Magnoliopsida; Poales; Poaceae
Description: partial small subunit ribosomal RNA
Source: RNAcentral